UAAACCAUUUUUUUUACCAAAUUUCAUUACAUACAAAAAUAAGUUACGAACUUAUAACAAAAUGAUAAUAUCUUCCAAUGGAACUACAACUUAGCAUGUCUUGUUAUAAUUUUACAAUAGAACUAUAACUCAUCAAGUCCUAUCACUAAUUUACAAAUUUCCUGCAAAGGGAUGAACUUUUCCUUGUGAUUGAGUUCACCUCAUCCUGUAUCAUCUAUGAUGGCACGUUAUUAGGUUGACUUGUUGAUAAGUAUCAAUCCUAGAGAAUUCAAUUGAUCUAAGCACUGCAUUCAAUAUCAANAAUUUCAUUACAUACAAAAAUAAGUUACGAACUUAUAACAAAAUGAUAAUAUCUUCCAAUGGAACUACAACUUAGCAUGUCUUGUUAUAAUUUUACAAUAGAACUAUAACUCAUCAAGUCCUAUCACUAAUUUACAAAUUUCCUGCAAAGGGAUGAACUUUUCCUUGUGAUUGAGUUCACCUCAUCCUGUAUCAUCUAUGAUGGCACGUUAUUAGGUUGACUUGUUGAUAAGUAUCAAUCCUAGAAAAUUCAAUUGAUCUAAGCACUGCAUUCAAUAUCAAAGCUAUCAUUUUCACAACUUUCAUGGAUGUGUUGUUUUUAUCAAAAUCAACUUGCUAAUCAACGGAUCAACCUGAAAAUUCAUCAAUGUUAAUGCUUCUAUAUCAAACUUAAGAAAAUAAUAAUAGAAGGUAACCUAACAUGUUAUUGCAAUUAGCAUAGUCCAUUUUUUUUUUCAUUACUUGUUCAAUGGUUUAAUGAGCAACUAUAUUUGUUCUUGGACCAACUUUUAAUUAAUCAUAAUCUAACAAGAAUACAGAAUCUAACACACAGAAACAUCAUUGAUCAAAGGAAGUAACAUACCUUUUUAUUCUGUUUCACGGUUCAUGACUAAAUGAACAUGUUGAAAAGCUUGAAUAAGGAAUGCUAAGUAAAUAAAACUACACCCAAAUAAAUUCAUCAUUUUGUAAACUAAC
Molecule: long non-coding RNA, 996 nt
Filed under: Medicago truncatula (barrel medic)
Lineage: Eukaryota; Viridiplantae; Streptophyta; Magnoliopsida; Fabales; Fabaceae
Description: long non-coding RNA (MTRU_LNC007428)
Source: RNAcentral